Talpa occidentalis (Iberian mole) is the source of this 490-nucleotide long non-coding RNA. RefSeq lists it as uncharacterized. The record is from RefSeq and is a predicted model, not a curated record. Lineage: Eukaryota; Metazoa; Chordata; Mammalia; Eulipotyphla; Talpidae. The transcript is spliced from 3 exons.
UAAGGCUACAGGAGUGAGGCAAGGGAUGCCAAUCCAGCCUUGCCCAUCUUUGAAUCCUCACCUUCUACUCGGCAAUGCUCUGUCCCAUGAGACAGGUUGUGAAGGGAAAACAUCAAAGGAGAAAAAUGACAGGGCUCUGCCCUUCACGGUAGACUCCACAAAGUUUUGUUAAAUAUUCUUUCUUCUAGUGGAUUGUUUGUAAAGAUAACUUGUACAAAUCUCAGGUAUUCUUUUUCUGGAUGAAUGGCACUGCACUGAGAACUUUGCAUUCAUGAAUCCUAAAAUUGUCAUUUUGAGGAUGAAGAAGUUGAGCCUAAGGGACAGCUCUGUGACAAGAAUGCCUGUGAAGUCAUACCCAUGUGACAGACAUGUGAUUGAGACUUAAAAGUACCCCCACUGAGCAUCUAGAAGAUGAAAAUUGCCAUAAAGUUCUGAGGCCAAGGAUACCUGAGUUCAGCAUCUUCUGGUUAAACAUCAAUCAUGUGAGCUA